AUGAACGCUGGCGGCGUGCUUAACACAUGCAAGUCGAACGAAGCACCUCUAAUCGAAGAUUGAGAAGCUUGCUUUGAUGAUUCACCUGAGGUGACUGAGUGGCGGACGGGUGAGUAACGCGUGGGUAACCUACCCUAUACAGGGGGAUAACAGUUGGAAACGACUGCUAAUACCGCAUAAGCGCACAGGACCGCAUGGUCUAGUGUGAAAAAACUCCGGUGGUAUAGGAUGGACCCGCGUCUGAUUAGCUAGUUGGUGAGGUAACGGCUCACCAAGGCGACGAUCAGUAGCCGACCUGAGAGGGUGACCGGCCACAUUGGGACUGAGACACGGCCCAAACUCCUACGGGAGGCAGCAGUGGGGAAUAUUGCACAAUGGGCGAAAGCCUGAUGCCAGCGACGCCGCGUGAACGAAGAAGUAUUUCGGUAUGUAAAGUUCUAUCAGCAGGGAAGAAAAUGACGGUACCUGACUAAGAAGCUCCGGCUAAAUACGUGCCAGCAGCUGC
This 505-nucleotide ribosomal RNA is filed under the name uncultured bacterium. RNAcentral describes it as "bacterial SSU rRNA". It matches the Rfam family "Bacterial small subunit ribosomal RNA", at positions 29 to 518 of the family's 1533-position model. The record is from RNAcentral.